AAUAAUUAGUUUAAGAUUUCUAUAAAAAAAUUUUAAAAUUAUUUAAGUAAAGUUUAUUUAUUUUAAUAAUUA
Molecule: transfer RNA, 72 nt
Filed under: Anadara kagoshimensis
Lineage: Eukaryota; Metazoa; Mollusca; Bivalvia; Arcoida; Arcidae
Description: tRNA-Phe
Source: RNAcentral